RNAcentral lists this ribosomal RNA (274 nucleotides) under uncultured bacterium. RNAcentral describes it as "partial 16S ribosomal RNA". It matches the Rfam family "Bacterial small subunit ribosomal RNA", at positions 523 to 796 of the family's 1533-position model. The record is from RNAcentral.
AUACAGAGGGUGCAAGCGUUAAUCGGAUUUACUGGGCGUAAAGCGCGCGUAGGUGGUUAGAUCAGUCGGAUGUGAAAGCCCCGGGCUCAACCUGGGAAUUGCAUUCGAUACUGUCUGACUAGAGUUUGGUAGAGGAAAGUAGAAUUCCAGGUGUAGCGGUGAAAUGCGUAGAUAUCUGGAGGAAUACCAGUGGCGAAGGCGGCUUUCUGGACUAAAACUGACACUGAGGUGCGAAAGCGUGGGGAGCAAACAGGAUUAGAAACCCCGGUAGUCC